GACCUGGUGGUGAAAUGCAUCACACCUACUUUGCCUGGCGGGGUAUGUAAUAUCUGUAUUUGUGGGAAUCCCUGGUUCGAGUCCGGGUCAGGUCA
Mycena leptocephala is the source of this 95-nucleotide non-coding RNA. NCBI's taxonomy places the organism in Eukaryota, Fungi, Basidiomycota, Agaricomycetes, Agaricales, Mycenaceae. The record is from the annotation of a GenBank genome assembly.